RNAcentral lists this ribosomal RNA (456 nucleotides) under uncultured Curtobacterium sp. RNAcentral describes it as "bacterial SSU rRNA". It matches the Rfam family "Bacterial small subunit ribosomal RNA", at positions 925 to 1382 of the family's 1533-position model. Lineage: Bacteria; Bacillati; Actinomycetota; Actinomycetes; Micrococcales; Microbacteriaceae. The record is from RNAcentral.
ACAAGCGGCGGAGCAUGCGGAUUAAUUCGAUGCAACGCGAAGAACUUACCAAGGCUUGACAUACACCGGUAACGCCCAGAGAUGGGUGCCCCUUUGUGGUCGGUGUACAGGUGGUGCAUGGUUGUCGUCAGCUCGUGUCGUGAGAUGUUGGGUUAAGUCCCGCAACGAGCGCAACCCUCGUCCUAUGUUGCCAGCGGGUCAUGCCGGGGACUCAUGGGAGACUGCCGGGGUCAACUCGGAGGAAGGUGGGGAUGACGUCAAAUCAUCAUGCCCCUUAUGUCUUGGGCUUCACGCAUGCUACAAUGGCCGGUACAAAGGGCUGCGAUACCGCGAGGUGGAGCGAAUCCCAGAAAGCCGGUCUCAGUUCGGAUUGGGGUCUGCAACUCGACCCCAUGAAGUCGGAGUCGCUAGUAAUCGCAGAUCAGCAACGCUGCGGUGAAUACGUUCCCGGGCCUU